Molecule: ribosomal RNA, 283 nt
Filed under: Phascolarctobacterium succinatutens YIT 12067
Lineage: Bacteria; Bacillati; Bacillota; Negativicutes; Acidaminococcales; Acidaminococcaceae
Description: partial 16S ribosomal RNA
Rfam family: Bacterial small subunit ribosomal RNA
Source: RNAcentral
UCUUUUCCUUUUUUUUCAGCCGCCGCGGUAAUACGUAGGUGGCGAGCGUUGUCCGGAAUUAUUGGGCGUAAAGAGCAUGUAGGCGGUUUUUUAAGUCUGGAGUGAAAAUGCGGGGCUCAACCCCGUAUGGCUCUGGAUACUGGAAGACUUGAGUGCAGGAGAGGAAAGGGGAAUUCCCAGUGUAGCGGUGAAAUGCGUAGAUAUUGGGAGGAACACCAGUGGCGAAGGCGCCUUUCUGGACUGUGUCUGACGCUGAGAUGCGAAAGCCAGGGUAGCGAACGGG